GAGCUCCCUGGAGACUCCCUGCGACGCCGCUUGCUUCGAAGACCGAAGAGCAGGUCCCGAACGGAGUCUCGGGAGUGUGCGACGUCGGCUCCAGUCCCAAGACGCCUGCGCGCUGUGAUACCGAGGCUGAGCCUGGGCUUUGAGCUUCUUACCGGAAGUGCCGGAGGAGAUUCCACGGAGACGCGAUUGCGGAAGAUCGGCCUUAGGUCUGGCGUCAGUUUCCCACUACACGUUUCGGGAACGAGGUCGGGAAGCGCCCCGCGCCACUGCUCGGCCUCCUUUGCCCUUCGCUGACCUAGAAGUGGCUUCCUUCGCCCUCAUCCUCUAGCGUCCUCAGCCGGCUCAGAGAUCCGGCCUGCACCGGACACACCCGCCUGCCUGACAGCUAACCCCGCCGGCUCGCCGCGCUGCUGUCCUCGAAAACCCGUUGACUUCAGAUCUGUUUUGCAAGCCCCCUGCGCUGCCCUGGCCGCAACGAAAAUGCUCCUAACCCUCCCAGAGCUUCAGGCCCCCCAGCUGACUGGCCAUUUCCGUCGGCGGCCCGGUCCUUCCCUCUCCUUGCUUUAGUUCUGCUUUUCCUAACAGUGGCCACAAGGAUAGCUGCCUCCUUCUAACAACAAAAGCUAAUCUGAUGGAGAAAAAAAUGGCAUGCAUGUAUGUGAUGUGUAUUUCUGUUCGUUGACCUUCACUGUCUUUACCACAAGUUUCUUAAAAGUCUAAAUGAGGGAAGAAGAAACAUCUCCGUGUGUGGGGGGAUUAAGGUAUCAUUACUGGGUGGGGGUGGGAGGGGACAAAAGGUUUUACCAGUUCAGAUUUCAAAACUAGCCCUUCAAAACUUCACUGGUCACAGUAUGUCAGGAGUAUUUCAGUCAGAUGUGAUUAUGGGGGAAAAUUUAAGAAUCAGUGCUCAAAUUCUAAAUCUGCAAUUGACAAGUUUGUUAUCAGCUCAGUGUUAAUUUUCUUUAUCUAAUCUUGAGUUUCCUAAACUCUGAAAUGGAAGCAUGUGGUUUUAGUUCACCAGCGAAGCUUUUAUUGGCUGCUUAAAAUAAUCUAUUGAAGAUCUGAUAUGUGACAGGCACUGCGUUAAAUGCUUUGCUUAUUAUUUCAUUUUUAUCCUAAGUAAAAUUUGGAAAGCAUAGUGUUUAUUUUCUUUGUGUUAGGUGUUGUUCACACAUAAAUUAAAAAUGAGAUAACUGUCUUUAUGGAACCACAGUUAAAUAGUAUACAGGGUCCAGAAGUAAUAUGUGCUUGAGUGUGGUUGGUAGGGUAAUAACAUGGGUGUAAUAAUUUGUAGUUUUAUUUUGAACAUUUCACCUACAAUGCCAUAUGGUUUUUGAGUGUGAUAUUGUUUAUGUUACAGAGUUAUAUGCUUAUGACUUUGUAAUAAAAAAGGUGUUAUUUGU
Artibeus jamaicensis (Jamaican fruit-eating bat) is the source of this 1403-nucleotide long non-coding RNA. RefSeq lists it as uncharacterized. The record is from RefSeq and is a predicted model, not a curated record. The transcript is spliced from 2 exons. NCBI's taxonomy places the organism in Eukaryota, Metazoa, Chordata, Mammalia, Chiroptera, Phyllostomidae.